AGUGGCGAACGGGUGAGUAAUAUAUCGGAACGUGCCCAGUCGUGGGGGAUAACGCAGCGAAAGCUGUGCUAAUACCGCAUACGAUCUCUGGAUGAAAGCGGGGGACUCGCAAGGGCCUCGCGCGAUUGGAGCGGCCGAUACCAGAUUAGCUAGUUGGUGGGGUAAAAGCCCACCAAGGCGACGAUCUGUAGCUGGUCUGAGAGGACGACCAGCCACACUGGAACUGAGACACGGUCCAGACUCCUACGGGAGGCAGCAGUGGGGAAUUUUGGACAAUGGGCGCAAGCCUGAUCCAGCAAUGCCGCGUGCAGGAUGAAGGCCUUCGGGUUGUAAACUGCUUUUGUACGGAACGAAACGGCUCUUUCUAAUAAAGAGAGCUAAUGACGGUACCGUAAGAAUAAGCACCGGCUAACUACGUGCCAGCAGCCGCGGUAAUACGUAGGGUGCGAGCGUUAAUCGGAAUUACUGGGCGUAAAGCGUGCGCAGGCGGUGAUGUAAGACAGAUGUGAAAUCCCCGGGCUCAACCUGGGACCUGCAUUUGUGACUGCAUCGCUAGAGUACGGUAGAGGGGGAUGGAAUUCCGCGUGUAGCAGUGAAAUGCGUAGAUAUGCGGAGGAACACCGAUGGCGAAGGCAAUCCCCUGGACCUGUACUGACGCUCAUGCACGAAAGCGUGGGGAGCAAAC
RNAcentral lists this ribosomal RNA (685 nucleotides) under uncultured bacterium. RNAcentral's name for it is "bacterial SSU rRNA". It matches the Rfam family "Bacterial small subunit ribosomal RNA", at positions 94 to 773 of the family's 1533-position model. The record is from RNAcentral.